RNAcentral lists this ribosomal RNA (497 nucleotides) under uncultured bacterium. RNAcentral describes it as "partial 16S ribosomal RNA". It matches the Rfam family "Bacterial small subunit ribosomal RNA", at positions 28 to 507 of the family's 1533-position model. The record is from RNAcentral.
GAUGAACGCUGGCGGCGUGCCUAAUACAUGCAAGUCGAGCGAACAGACGAGGAGCUUGCCCCUCUGACGUUAGCGGCGGACGGGUGAGUAACACGUGGAUAACCUACCUAUAAGACUGGGAUAACUUCGGGAAACCGGAGCUAAUACCGGAUAAUAUAUUGAACCGCAUGGUUCAAUAGUGAAGGACGGUUUUGCUGUCACUUAUAGAUGGAUCCGCGCCGCAUUAGCUAGUUGGUAAGGUAACGGCUUACCAAGGCAACGAUGCGUAGCCGACCUGAGAGGGUGAUCGGCCACACUGGAACUGAGACACGGUCCAGACUCCUACGGGAGGCAGCAGUAGGGAAUCUUCCGCAAUGGGCGAAAGCUUGACGGAGCAACGCCGCGUGAGUGAUGAAGGUCUUCGGAUCGUAAAACUCUGUUAUUAGGGAAGAACAAAUGUGUAAGUAACUAUGCACGUCUUGACGGUACCUAAUCAGAAAGCCACGGCUAACUACGUG